RNAcentral lists this transfer RNA (86 nucleotides) under Actinomycetota bacterium. RNAcentral describes it as "tRNA-Arg". The record is from RNAcentral. Lineage: Bacteria; Bacillati; Actinomycetota.
GGCCGUGCUGAGUAGCAUCCAGUACAGAUCAACAGGUUCGACUCCGAAUCGGAAGGUCGGCGGUUCGACCCCGCCCCUGGCCACCA